Molecule: long non-coding RNA, 406 nt
Filed under: Rattus norvegicus (Norway rat)
Lineage: Eukaryota; Metazoa; Chordata; Mammalia; Rodentia; Muridae
Description: long non-coding RNA NONRATT020919
Source: RNAcentral
AAGAAACGGGUGACCAUCCUGGUGGAUGGAGGGGAGAUUGAACUGUUCAAUGGAGAGGUGAAUGUUAAGAGACCUCUGAAAGAUGAGUCUCACUUUGAGAUGGUGGAGUCGGGCCAGUACGUCAUCCUGCUGCUGGGUCAGGGCCUUUCUGUGGUCUGGGACCACCGCCUCAGCAUCUCCGUGGUCCUGAAGUACACAUACCAGGAACACGUGUGUGGCCUGUGUGGGAACUUCGAUGGUAUCCAGAACAAUGACUUCACCAGCAGCAGCCUUCAGGUGGAGGAAGACCCCAUUGACUUUGGGAACUCCUGGAAAGUGAGCCCACAGUGUGCCGACACAAGAAAGCUGUCACUAGACGUUUCCCUUGCCGCCUGCCACAACAAUAUCAUGAAACAGACAAUGGUGG